GGGUAGUUUUCAAGAAUUUUAAUUCACAAUUUCUAUAUAAAGCAUUUUUUUUCUUCUACCUUACUUACCUUUUAAUAUUAUUUUUGAUGACACUAGAAUACGCAUACUGUUUUGAGACGGUAGCAACGUCAAACCAUAUAUUUCUUAGUGUCUUUUGCACAGAUUUACUAUAUGCAAUUUGUGAAGGUAUUAUGUAAAGUACAUGGAUAAUAGGGUGUGUGUGUGUAUGUAUGUGUAUAUAUAAAAAACCUGUGACUUUUUUUUUUUUUUAGAUUUUUAUUUUCUAUUCUCCCCACUCACCUCCCCCCAAAUAAAAAGUCCAGAAAAAGAAUAUAAUUUGUUUAAUAAGAAUGCCUAAAGGAAUUGUGCCUUUUAUGUUCAUUUUCCCUAAACAUUUAAAUGAUGGAUAUGCAGGGAAUGCACUGUUGCCCAAUAAUGCAAACCUUCCAUUUUGAUUUCUGUUCUGAUAAAUUAUGCUGUGUAAAUAAGCAUAUAGUUUUCUCACUAAUUGAAAUGUGCUGUACUUUAGAAACCUUUUUAUUGUUUUCUGCUGGUAAGAUGCACUGUGUACAUUGCUUGUUUCUAAAUUGAAGGCUUGCCCAAUCAUACUGUAACCAAGCUUGAAGGUUCACUUAUCCAUCAGUAGUUGUAGCACCCUCAAUUCCAGCAGUUUCUCAUAUGUAAAAAAGAAAUUCUCUUCCUACUGGUUGGAAUAUUUUUUGAUUUAUGCAUCAUAUCAGGUGUGUAAGCAGAUAUUAUUUGCAGUAUGGGAAUAUAAUUCCCACUUACACAGUUCAUCACGUUUUUGGUAUUUUUUUUUAUGUGAUACUGGACACUUUUUAUAUAAAUAUAUGUAUGUAUUUUAUAAUUUAUUAGAAGCUCUGGGAAGUCAGGAUCUUUUAGUUGUAGGAAAUGCUUGUCAGUUAGAAUGUCUUAUUUCUACUUUUUCAUGUGGUCUGUGUAGUAUAAGAGUUUAACUUUUUUUUUUUUUUUUUACAUUUUUGGAG
Molecule: non-coding RNA, 1007 nt
Organism: Pelobates cultripes (western spadefoot toad)
Lineage: Eukaryota; Metazoa; Chordata; Amphibia; Anura; Pelobatidae
Source: the annotation of a GenBank genome assembly